RNAcentral lists this ribosomal RNA (484 nucleotides) under uncultured bacterium. RNAcentral's name for it is "partial 16S ribosomal RNA". It matches the Rfam family "Bacterial small subunit ribosomal RNA", at positions 28 to 523 of the family's 1533-position model. The record is from RNAcentral.
GACGGACGCUGGCGGCGUGCUUAACACAUGCAAGUCGAACGAUGAGGCCGGAGCUUGCUCUGGUGAAUUAGUGGCGAACGGGUGAGUAACACGUGAGUAACCUGCCCUUGACUCUGGGAUAACUGCGGGAAACUGUAGCUAAUACCGGAUACGACCCUCGGAGGCAUCUCCUGGGGGUGGAAAGAAUUUCGGUCAAGGAUGGACUCGCGGCCUAUCAGCUAGUUGGUGAGGUAAAGGCUCACCAAGGCGACGACGGGUAGCCGGCCUGAGAGGGUGACCAGCCACACUGGGACUGAGACACGGCCCAGACUUCUACGGGAGGCAGCAGUGGGGAAUAUUGCACGAUGGGCGCAAGCCUGAUGCAGCAACGCCGCGUGAGGGAUGACGGCCUUCGGGUUGUAAACCUCUUUUAGUAGGGAAGAAGCGAAAGUGACGGUACCUGCAGAAAAAGCACCGGCUAACUACGUGCCAGCCGCCGCAGUAA